CUACUACCGAUUGAAUGGUUYAGUGAAGUGUUCGGAUCGGGGCCACCUGGGYGGGUCCCCGGUGGUGACGUAGCGAKAAGUACACACUGAAGAUUWUCAUUUUGARGAAGGAAGAAAU
This 118-nucleotide ribosomal RNA is filed under the name uncultured eukaryote. RNAcentral describes it as "partial 18S ribosomal RNA". The record is from RNAcentral.